This 334-nucleotide unclassified non-coding RNA is filed under the name soil metagenome. RNAcentral describes it as "partial contains 5.8S ribosomal RNA, internal transcribed spacer 2, and large subunit ribosomal RNA". The stretch from base 1 to 120 matches the Rfam family "5.8S ribosomal RNA", at positions 35 to 154 of the family's 154-position model. The record is from RNAcentral.
GAUGAAGAACGCAGCGAAAUGCGAUAAGUAAUGUGAAUUGCAGAAUUCAGUGAAUCAUCGAAUCUUUGAACGCACAUUGCGCCCGCCAGUAUUCUGGCGGGCAUGCCUGUUCGAGCGUCAUUUCAACCAUCAAGCCCUGCUUGCGUUGGGGUCCUGCAGCUGCCCGCAGGCCCUGAAAACCAGUGGCGGGCUCGCUAGUCACACCGAGCGCAGUAAUACAUCUCGCUUUGGGCGUGCGGCGGGUUCUUGCCGUUAAACACCCCCUUUUUACCAAGGUUGACCUCGGAUCAGGUAGGAAUACCCGCUGAACUUAAGCAUAUCAAUAAGCGGAGGA